RNA transcript from Scylla paramamosain (green mud crab), 8809 nucleotides. It is a transcript of the gene named thioredoxin-like protein 4A, with no coding region annotated. The transcript has 5 exons. Lineage: Eukaryota; Metazoa; Arthropoda; Malacostraca; Decapoda; Portunidae. The record is from RefSeq and is a predicted model, not a curated record.
GACAGGUAUGAGAUGAUGCAAGUGAUACUGACUGAGUUAGGGCAUGAUAGGAAUGAAAGAGUGGAGAAGACAGGAAAGGAAUGGAUGGUGUUGUUGCUGGGACUGUGUAGAGAGGCGAAUGAAAGGAUGAUUGAGGCGGUGAAAGAGUUUCUGGAGAGAAUGUGGCGUGCCAGGUGUAUGAACAAUUAGGAUAGAGGAUGCUGUUCGUUUCUUUUUUUUUCCCCCCCCUUCUACAGGAGUUGCCGAUCCAAAGGCCUGGCUCAGGAGUGAUCCUGUGCCACCUGUACCAUCAAGAUCAAGAUCAAGAGUCAGUCACAACAUAGGCAUCCUUGAUUGGCCGCUGGUACCUUCUCGACCUGUGCUCUCAACAUCCUAACUCACCAUGUCGUACAUGCUACAGCACCUGCACAACGGGUGGCAGGUGGACCAGGCCAUCCUGAGCGAGGAGGACAGAGUGGUGGUGAUUCGCUUUGGCCAUGACUGGGACCCAACCUGCAUGAAGAUGGACGAGGUUCUGUACAACAUUGCUGAGAAGGUGAAGAAUUUUGCCGUCAUCUACCUGGUGGACAUCACAGAGGUGCCGGACUUCAACAAGAUGUACGAGUUGUAUGACCCUUGCACCUGCAUGUUCUUCUUCAGGAACAAGCACAUCAUGAUUGAUCUGGGCACUGGUAACAACAACAAGAUCAACUGGGCUCUGGAGGACAAGCAGGAGAUGAUUGACAUAAUAGAGACAGUGUAUCGCGGUGCAAGAAAAGGACGAGGUCUGGUGGUGUCGCCCAAAGACUAUUCCACCAAGUACAGAUACUGAGCCUUCACCUGCAGCCUCACAUUUAUUGUAGGGCAAGACAGCGGGCUGGCUGGUGUCUUGACACCUGAGGGACACACAAGACCUGAGGCUUGGUGACACCCACACACCAGCUCACCCCCAUCAGCAGCGAUACGCGCCCCACUUGUUACAGCGUCAGAAUCAGUCAGUCAGUCAAUCAAUCAGUUGAGACCAUGUUCAAAUCAAGAUGGCAGGACUGCAGGAGUGAGGAUGGAGGCACUAGUAAUGACUGGAGGAGGCAUCCAGCGCACAACACCCCGGCACAGGCUGCCAGUCUUCAUAAAGAUUAGUGCAUAGUGGUACUGCAGGUACAGGCUGCCAGACUCUGCUUGGGCCAGGCAACAUCCCAUCAGUGGUUUGCACACACAUUGCAGCAGCUCAUAUCCUGACUGUUGAUUCAUGUAAGUCUUUAUUCACCUCUCAUGUAUACAUUUCAGUAGAUGAAUUUCUAAGUCAUAAGUGGUAGGAUUAUUGUUGGUAAUUUCUGUUCAUUAGAUUGGAUGGACGUCUGUGGAGCAAGGAAGAGUAGUUGUAUGUGAUAGGAAUCAUUGGAAAGCACUUGGCAUGAAAUAAUAAGAUCAUCUAAAGAACAAUGUUAUGUGGAGUUAGGUCAGAGAAUUGACAAUUCUACUCAGUGUCAUGGAGUCUGGAGCAGUAAUUUCACCACCUGAAGACACACAAACAUGGUAAUGCCUCUCAUAUGUGCUGUUUGGCUUUUGUAUUCCUAACUUGUUUCAAGAUGUGUGGCAAAUUGACUGAAUUCCUACCCAAACUUUUUUUUUUUUUUUUUUUUUCUCUCUCUCCAUAUUAUAAGGUAAGGUUCAAGUAGGAAUACUUAGUCAACCUACCAUUCUUUUUUUAAACAGGACAAGAACAUGCAGACCAGUCAACAGACAAGAGGAUAGCAUAGUGAGCAUUAGCAUGUGAAUGUGUAUUCAGGUGACAUGAUUAUUGUGCCAGAGUAGAUGAUUAUACAAGUGCCCAUUGCAAUAUACCAGAUACUCCAGGAUACAAAUGCACAUUACUCUAAGUAGAAAAUAUCGUAUAAACCAUUUUUUACAUUGCUUUAUGGUAAAGAGAAUUAUAUAAUUGUCUUGUGUUGCAAGGACAGCUUGUUUACUAAAGUUGUACUGCCAGUGCUAGUUAGCUGUUAAACACUUAUUAUCAUAAAUCAUACUCAGAAUUCUCAUCAUAAAUAUAUAAACAAAUAAAUAAAUAAAUACAGUUCAACAUCAGCCCAGUCAAGAAAUGCAGCCAACAAACAGUACUGUUACUCACUCGGAAGGGUGAGUGUGUUAGCUUGGAUGAGAGGGAAGCUGUUUCCCUCCUUUCUGCCUCAAAGAUCUGUGGUGUUCAGAUGUAUAGUAGCUUUUCUAAGAUCCACCAAGUCACUAUUGAACAAAGAAUAUAUUCACAGUAGUUUACUGAAGAUGUUCAAGUGACAUUACAAUAUUGCUGGCUGUAUUUCUUCCUUCAUUUAACAGAAUUUGCUUAAUCAUUCAUUAUGAUUUGCAAUAGUAAUUAAGACAAGCUAGUUGGCAUCAGCCACCACAGCUCCAUGACAAACAAGGCGUCCAUGCAACACAGUACAAACCCAUAACUCUAAACACCAUAGAACAUUUUCUAUUUAACAUAGCAGUAUCCUGGAGUAUCCAACACAGUUCCUUAGAUCUUUAAUAGUCAGUGCCACUUGGCAUAGUCAUGUUGAUUCGUGUGUUGCCAACCUGCUUGCCUAUUAUUUUGCUACUGUAUUCACCACAGAAGAGCUUUGUGGGUAAAAUCAUUACUUCCUGCCAACACUGCAGUGUUCACCCAAUGUUCAAAAGUGGUCAGUUUUAAUUACUCUUGCCUGGAGAAAUGUGUUCUUUCUAGUGCCUCCAUCCACAACCCCUUCACAGCAGUGAGUUAUGCAGCCACACACCACCUCCACAGCAGAGAGUAAUUAAUGCACACACUUCCCCCUCCACAGCUGAGAGUUAUGCACACACAUUUGCAUGUGCAGAUUUCCCAUUGAUGUCUGAGACAUGCUCAAGUGAGACUAAAAGAGUGAUUAUUUACUGGAGGAAAUCCAGUUACAAUACACGGCAAAGUCUCCAAGUUUAAGGCUUCUUUAGACCACGAGAUGCCCCACCACAAACACUGACAUCCUGGAGAAGCACAAUUCUGUGCAACCUUCCUUUAGCUGUCUUGUUGUGAUGGUGAGAUUAUCCACCAAUUGUCAGCUUACAUGAACAAAAAAGUCCAAUCACUUAUCUUGGAACAUGAAACCCAAGAAGCCUUAAACUUUGGGACUAGGUGGGAUAUUUUAAUUCAUUAUACACCAGUGUGCUUAGUACUGGGCCUUAAUUUGUAGCAUUCAAUCACACCUUAAUUGUGCAUGUUUCAGGCAACACAGGAAAUCUGCACAUGAAAAUGUGUGUGUAUAACUAACACUUACAGAAGGGGUAAGGGAGGAGGCACUUCAUGUGAACACACUUCUCCAGGCAAAAAUAAUUGAAACUGCUUUGUCAUUCACAGCAAUGGGUGUUCUAAAACACUAGUUGCACUAUAUAGUAGUGAUUUUUCCUGUUGGAAACUAGGAAAUUAUUAUUUAAUGGCAAACUAAUAUCAGUGUGAUCAAUGUCCAAUGCUACUAACUGUCAUAUACCCAUGAAAAUGAGGACCCAUAUACUAUAAAAAUUUUAUUAAAUAUAUAUAGAUUAAGUUUUUAUUCAUACUUUUUUUCAAAGCCAGCCUGGGAUAACUUAUCAAGCUAAUAAUGGCACCUAGCUGCAGUAGUAGGCAAUAAGGAUCAAGAUUUGAUGGGAUUUUUGUUAGGUAUGAUCAACAAAAUAUAUAUGUAGGUAACAAUCAAAAGUAACAUCUUUUAAAGAAUUAAAUAAUUUUAUAAUUGCAAUAAUUCUAUAAUUCUGAUAGAGAGAGUUUUCUUGAACUCUUGUUUCAGUAGCACUGAAGGAUUGCAGCAAAACAUGCACAGUGCACAGGCACAAACCCCAAUAUAUGGGAAUGAGCAAUAAGCUGGAAAAUGUGUAGCUGUGGAAUUGCAUUCCUCUUAUUGCCUCUCCAGGCCCUUCUUAUGUCUCAAUGAGCAAUUCCUGGUGCAAAGUCAUCCAUCUUCUCUUCCAUUUUGGCAUCUAGUAUACUUCGAUGCCCUGCACUAUAUGCACACCUGAAUGUAGUACACAAUCUGCAGUACAUCAUGGAUGAAUGACUGCAGAACCGUGAUGUUCAAGUAAUUUUCCCAUUCUGUUGUUUCACCAUCUGCCUGAAAAAUCAGUAUAGAUUAUGAUGUGGUUGUAUCUAGAAAAUAUCAAGCUAAAAUAAUUUUAAAAGCAGAGCAUAUAGUAGGAUGUUGAGUGAGAUGGAUGCUGUAGAUGAGAUAGGCUGCCUGAGUAUUUUGAGAAAUUGUCAGCCUAGCAAAGUGUAAAAGAUGGGUAAAGUUGAAUGAAAGUGUUGAAGAGUAGGCUGCCUGAGUAUUUUGAGAAAUUGUCAGCCAAGCAAAGUGUAAAAGAUGGGUAAAGUUGAAUGAAAGUGUUGAAGAGUAAAGAGAAAGCAAUGAACUUGCUGGCUUGGAUGAGUAGGAAAAUAUUUAAAGGAAAUAAGUAAUUGGCUGAGUGGUUUGUAAGAUUGCUCCUAUAUGGUAUGUACAGUAAAACCUCCCUAAAUUGAACCCAAAUAAGCUGAAUAUCGGAUAACCUGAACGUCCUUAUCAGCCUUCUUAGCCAGUCUGCCCACUCCACUCCAUCCCCAAUCACACCAGAGCCACCAGCUAACAUCUUUGACUCGAACUCUGAGUGAUAAGCAAAAGUACACUAGUAGUACAGUGCUUUAUGUUAUGUUAGCUCUUAUGUGAUCUUGUGUGUUGUGUACAGUUAAGUGAGCUCUUAAGUAAACACUAAGUGUGUAGUUGCAUAAUGUAAGUGAACUCUUAAAUUGAAUUAAAGUGACCAGAUAGUGAGUUGUGUACCGUGUAUAAUAACAAAAUAUGCUGUAAAUAUCCAUCUUGAGGCUUAUAAUAAUAAUUUUUUUAUUUCCCAUCAAAAGAAGAUAGGACACUAUAAACAUAUUUAACAAAAGAACAUAAUACCUUGUCAUUCAUAAAAUUAAUUAGAGACUAAAAAACAGUUUAAAGAUUACAUCGUUAUAAAAUUUAGAGUAUCAAAAGAAAGGAGUUAAUUAUAAGUAUACAAGGGAAAUCUUACUAGCUAAACAAUUUCAAAAUUAUACAUAGAUUAAAACAUGAAUUUUAAAAUUUUAUAAGUUAUUAAAAACAUGAAUUUUAAAAUUAUAUAAAUCAGUUAUUUUUAAAUUACACUUUAAAAUUAUAUAAAUAAGUUAUUUUUAAAUUACACAUCAUGAGACUAAAAUGGAGCAAGUAUCAAAUUUAAAACAUAAUUGUCAAAUGAAUUUUCACUUGCCAGAAGGGCACGGACACUGUUAGAUAACCCAUCAUUAUCAAAUCUUUGAUGUUUUAUUUCAUAUUCGGCCUUCUUUGCAUAGCUAGAGUCAAACAGGUAUUUCAUAAAGUUUACAUUGUACUUUGAACAGAUGUCCCUCGCUCUUUCGAGUAAGCCUGUUGUUGAAUUGAAUUCUUUCACUCAAAACUUUAUUAUAGCAGUAUAUAUAAAAUCAUCUUGCUCUUUAUUAUAGCAGUAUAUAUAAAAUCAUCUUGCUCUUAAGUUAUUAUGAAAAAUCUGGCCUAAUAGGUCAAUAUUCAUUGCAUCCACCAUAGGGUAUCCUUAAGGCUUUCAAUAAGGGUUUAUUUCUACAGUAUUUAUGUAGUCUGAACAUAGCCUUUACAAGCUUUCCUUGCAUGAACUCAUUCAUACGUCUUUUAUCUAUCUUAACAGUAUUCAAUCCAUAUGUCAUUACAGGCCUAAUUGCAGUUUUCCAGACAUAAGGAGCUGUGUUAACAUUAGUUUCCAAGUUGCACAACCCUGCUCAUUGUAAGGCGUAAAAUGCUUUUCUGCAGGCACUACUGCAUUCAUUCACAUGAGCAUGAGGUUUUCCGUGGGAAAGAUUCACUCCCAGGUAUUUCUACACAUCACAUCCUUUCAAAAUAUCUAUUUAGGUGCCAUACAGGACGCUCCGUAAAACAAAAUUCCCCGAAUAUGAUACAUUCAGUCUUGCUGGGAUUAAAAGACAAGCCAUGAUUACAUUCAGUCUUGCUGGGAUUAAAAGACAAGCCAUGAUUACUUACAUACUUAUUAGAAACCUCACUCAUUUGUUGCAGACCUGUGACAGUUAGACUACAUAAAAAAAUAUCAUCUGCAUAACUAAAAACGUUAAAAGACUUGGAACCAAUAACAACUCCACCAUUAUACGCAGAUAAGGUAUCCACAAGAUCUUUGUAAAAUAGGUUAAAUAAAAAAGGAGAUGUUAGCCCACCUUGGCAAGUACCUCUAGAGACUUGGAUAUCAGCAGAUAAAUAUGUUCCCCACUUAACUUGCAUUGUAAUUGAUGUGUACCACGUAAGCAAAGUAGCCCAGCAAUCCUUAGGAAUCGCUCCCAUUGCCUUGUAUAAAAUGACAUCAUGAGGUAUAGCAUCAAAUGCUCCCUGGGCAUCUAAAGAACAUGCAUAUACCAGUGAGCCUCGGGAUUUACAAUAUGAGGAGCAUCUAAAGAACAUGCAUAUAAAAGUGAGCCUCGGGAUUUACAAUACGAGAUAACAUCUUGCGCUAGCACAGCAACCAUAUUUGUACUUGGUCUUAUAAUGUGUACUAACAAAUAUGCUGUAAAUAAGAGUAAACAUACAUGUGUUUAUGUACAUAGAAACCAGCCAAAAAUGUGUACCAAACUUUUGGAUAAACCGUCAACCACCUCGCUCCAUAUAGUUUGAUUUAUGGAGAUUUUACUGUACAUGUAAAUUAACAGAAUGGUACAGUGUGAGAGUGUGAUAUGGCUCCCAUAUAUAGAAAAAAAUUAAUGCUCUUGCUUUAAAUGCAAGUUAGAGAGAGUGAUUGGCUCAUUAGCUAGAAUACAGAGGCAGGAAUAAUGUAAGCUGUGGGGUUUACAAAGUGGGAACAAGAUGUUUGCUGUUUAACAAGUGUAAGAAGUAGGUACUUUACAAAAGACUAAUAUGUUUUGGAUGUUAAUAGAUUUAAAGAAUGCAUGUGGUAGGAGUAAUGGGAAGGGUUCACAAUUUUGAGUGGGUGAAAGGGAUACAGUGGUGAAUAACUGGUUUGUAAACAUACUGAGGGGGCAACAUCCUGUGGAUCUGUGGUGAGAGAAUGAAUGAAUUAGCUUACUUGUUUAGUUUUACUUGUGAUUUUUAUUGUAUCCAGUAUCCAUUGUGGAUACAAGUAUAAAAGCAAGUUAGUGUUAAUUUAGAAACAUCCCUACUCAGAUUUUCUCCAGCUGUACUGUUGUUGACUGCAAUCACUGUCACCAGUAGAAAACAAGAAUAAUUACACAAAACUAUGUGAAAAUUCAAGAAAGUGCAUGCACAUCAUAGAAGCUGUGAAAGAUGAGAAGAAUAUUUAUCAUUGAAGCUAUGACAGAUGGGAAGAAUAUUUAUCACAUUUGAAUGUUUUGUUAAUAAUCCUGUGUUUUAUUUAAUUAACUGUUAAUUUAACUAAACAACUUAUUUUAGUCCAUGAGGCUUGAAAGACACUGGAGAUUUUGUGAUUAAUUAUUAUAACACAAAUAGUUGGCCACAUAACCCUGGAAGGUCUAGCUUACAACUCCAGCAAGUUUUUGUAACCAAGGGAGCCAGUAAAGUGAGGUGCACACACAAACACAAAUUCAGCAUUUCCUUGCAUCCUAACAAGAGCUAUAAACACUAAGAAUGAAGUCCCAAAUAAUAGAUCUACCAGGAUGGAGUUUCUCUUGAAGAUGAGGAGACAUGACUGUCAAUAUGACAAAGUAAAAGCAGAUCACCAGUCAAGUUUUGCAAAAUACUUUUAAAGAUAAACCCUGCAACAGUCUGCCUUGCAACUACUGUUGUUGUACAUCAGUUAAAGAAAGGACAAUGGUUUAUUCUUGGUGAGUAGACAAGGGGAAUAACAAUUGAAGCACUUCCUGCAGAAGUGAGGCAGGUGAUAGAUCAAAAUGGAGUUACUCCUUACUUCAACUUGUAUUGUAUGUCUAGAUCAUUUGCAUAAAGAAACUGUAUAAGAAGCAAGCCAAAAAUAUUUACAAUUUUACUUGCCCAUGUGUAGCCGCCGUGUACGCACAACUUACACGACGGCUAGAGAUACAUUGUAAUGCGACAUUUUAUGUUUUCUUUGUUAGCAGUAUAUUAUUUGUAGUGACUGGUUGUUAUACAUGAGUAGUGUCAUGAGUAGUGUAUGGAGUGUAGGGUGCGCCUGCGUGCCAGCACAGCCGAGUGAGAGGGGAACGUAGGGCCGAGGGGACGCGUUGAACUUGCCCUCUCAGCUCUUUCUCUCAUUGACGGGUCGGUUGUUGUGGCAUGGGCGCUGAUAACAUACCUGCAGCAUAAUGAACAUCAUAUGCUGUAGGGGCCCAGCAGCGUCUCCAAAGCCACUUACUUCACGGCAGUCAUGCCUACACGUUAGACGUGUCUCGGGAGGCACAGAGUAAAUCCCCGUGUUCCUCAUCCCGGUAAAUCUCCAAGUGUAAUCCCUUGCAUACAACCAAGAGGACGCCUGUUCCCCACAUUGUGUAUGUAUUCAUAGUAUUAGGAUACUUAUGUAACCAUGAGGAUUUGAUGAUGUUUCAAUAUAAUUAAUGUGACUACUUAUAUUUAGAUACUUAAAUUGUGAGGAAUUAAUGUGACUACUUAUAGUGAUUAGAUACUUAAAUUGUGAGGAUUUAGAGAUGUGUGUUAAUAUAAGUACACUUAACGUAACAUAAUGACGUACAUCAGAUCACGCAGAUGAGAGGGGUGACUUGCUGUGUUUGUGCUGGUGGUGUUCAUCUGUAGAACCGACUGUACCCACUAAAGUGUAGGUAACUCUGUAUUGAUUUAUAUAUUGUAUGGAAUUGACGACGUGAAGUGUCACAACAAUGAUGUACUGC